UUGUGUAAAACUUUACAAGGUAGAGUGAGUUGAUUGGAAGUAAGUUUUACUGCAUUUUGAAAAGGUUUUCCAGUGACUCGACUACAAGCUUCGACAGGGUUAUAGCCUUCAAAGACAGGUGUAAUCAUAUGAAAAUAAACUUGAUUUUCACAAUCGUCUAGUUCGAACAUCCUUCGAAUGAGGCUCCUAGUAAUCUUUACCCUCUUUCCUUUGAGAAAACAAGUUAUGCCCGUUCUCGGAGUAUAAUUCUUUGAUAAGAUUCGAGUAGACAUUUUCUUCUAAGGUGGCAACAGAUAUCCAACCCAUUCUCAUGAAAUAUUCCUCGAUUUGAAAGGAAUGAGCAUCGAAAGUAAAAGAGGCAAAAUCGACACUCUUACCCAUAAGAAUUGGGCAUUUGUCAAACUUAUUCUCCUUCUAUGCGGGUUCUUCUUCGGAUGAGGGAGUCCGUUGUAUUUCUGUCCUCCUAUUGCGCUUGCCCGGAAUCUUCAAUCGAUGCAUAGUGUAUAAAUCGUAUUUGAAGAGCAAGUGUUCAGAUAACCAGUUUGAAGUGAUUUAUGGAUGGAAAUGAGGGAUUUUGAGUGUGGAAGAGAUGGGUUUUUGAAUUUGUAUGGAAUUUUUUUGGAGUGAAGGUUGGUUUUGUGGGUUUUAGAUGGGGUCGAAAGUGGAGAUGAAGAAAAACGAGAAACACUUCGAAAAAGUGCAGAGUUUUGGUCCUUAAAAUCUAGAAAAUCACGAGACCGGUCGACGAAUGUAUGGACCGGAUCGAAAUAAACGGAUGAAAAAUGGACCAAAUAUUCUGUCCUUUCGGAUGACCAAACCGGUCGUCCGACACUGGACUGGAUGAUUAAACAAUUGGGAAUCAUCUUGCUCCUAUGAAGCUGCAGUAGCCAUUGUUGGCUGGCUGCUUUUCGGGUUUAUGCUGCAAGAAAGAAUGCCUCUUCCAGUUAGAAGAUAAGGACAAGUAGACCAUAUCACUUCAACAUUUUCUUUUCUAAGUUCCUGUGAACCCUCAUGGAAGAAAGCAACUGAGAUGCUUCUGGACGUUGCUGGUCAUGGGGAAGCCACUGGUUACGAAAUGCCUAGCCUCAUUGUUGCCGCUAUCGACGAUCUUGAUCCUUGAUUCAAGAUUCAACAAGGGCAUCUUCUACAGUAAGUUAGGACAUGGGAAUUGAGGCUUCUAUUCCUAUCAGCACAAAGCUGAUGCAGCAGAGCACUCUCAUUUGAGCAUUCCUGAAACUGCAGCUGGAAAAGGCCGUAAGCAGUAUCACAUAUUUGGUAAUCGCUCUCUUAUGUUUGUAUCAGGAAACAAACUGCAACUGAGGUACCCGACCUAAUCGAACUGUAACAAGUUGGUCGACCUCUCUAACUAGAGCAAAUGGAUCCUGGAUAAGGAAACAUUGACGUAUCAACUUUUGAUGUCGAGACUUGCUAAAACUUAACAGGUUAGAAUUGAUUGCGUAAAGUCUUCUAUUGCGUAAACUUGAAUCUUUGAUGUGCUUUCUCAUAUCUUUUUGGAAGCUAACAUAAUUUACAUGAAGGCAUUUUAAGAUUUUAAAAUCAAUUCAUACUGUUGAUCUCCUAGCUUCUCUGAAUGCAUUUUGCUUAUAGAAAGCGUGACUUUAUUAUUUUGAUUUCGACUUACAUACACAAUUCUUGAGUUUAAUCAGAUGAAACUGGAAAAUGGAACGGGACCAAGAAAGGUACAUUCAUGUUGGUCAUUAAACACUAUCUUCCGAUGCUUUCAGACAAUUGACUGCAAAAGGUUGUUAUUACCUUGAAGCACCAAUGUCGGUAGCAAAAAAACUGCUGAAGAUGGUAAAUUGGUGAUUCUUGCUGCCGGAGAAAAUGUGAAUAUUCAUGUUUCAUUUGUCAGUUCAAUUGUUGAUGUCCUAAGGCUGACAGUGAAAAUCAUAUUCUAUUGGUUUAUUGAAAGGGAUUUCAAACUAUUCUCAGAUUGAGUUUCAAAAGGAAUUGAAAACAGUGGGAUGCAUGCCUAUUUUAUAUUCCUGCUUUCUUUCUUGGAAAGAAAAUGUUUGUUUCCCUUGUAUCACCCUUUGCUUAAUGACCAUUUCCUUCCUCCUACCAAAGAUGGUGCAAGUAUCAGAAAGAUAAAGGGAGCAUCCAACGACGCCGUAUACAAAUAGCCAAGAGAUUUUUUUCUCCAGCUACACUGCCGCAUAAUUGCUGCGGCAUAAAUGGAAGAAUUUGAAGUCUAAUGAACUAAAAUUCCUUCUUAGCUUUAUAUGCGAUCAGAUUAGAAAUGAAAGUGAUAUGAUUUAGGCUCCUGAAGGAACCUGUAGAAGGCCUCUUUAUUUAAAAUAGUGCACAAUCCAUAACAGUUAAUUUCUGGACAAUGAGUCAUUAAAUUUAGAUUCAUUGACUUAUAUUAACAUGAAUGUUUCUUCAACUAUACAUAAAUUGCAGUAACUCGUAACAUUUGAAAUACUCCAUUUUUACCUAUUCAGUUGGCCUAUAGUUAUGUUGUUUGCAUGCUUUCUUGGAUUUUAAUAGCUUUUAAAAAUUCUUUUGGAUCAAAUUUUUGGAUGCAAAGUUAUUUUCUUCUACAAUUGUAACAAUACAUUUGUUAAUAAUUUAUUCUACUAAUUUAUAAGUGUGAUUCUCAUAUUAUUUGUUUUUUCUUUCUGUGUUUUUCAAAAUAAAUAUUAAAAUCUUGCAUUAAAACGUGAAUUAGAGGACAACUCAAUGUGUCUUGAAUUUACUAAUCUUUUUUUUUUUUCUUUUUUUUUCUGGGUAACUUAUUUUGUAUAGUAUAAGUACCUUAAUCUAGAGUGCAGAUUUUUUUCCCUUUUUUUUUGUGUGUGUGUGUGUUUUCAAUUUCCAGGCAUCGGACGAGCAUUUGUAGCCUCUGCCACCAGACCUCGUAUUCAGAAAACAGUGAGGAGAUGAAACAGCAUGGUGAGUUAAAGCAAUUUGAUGUUUUGUGUCAUUUACUGAAUAAUUGGUUGAAUUGUCUCUCGCCAUUCGGGAUACAUUCAUUAUAUAGAUGAAUAUUACAUACAUGGUUAUAUAACAUAAUUUUAGGUAAAUUGUAAUUACUACGUAAAAUACAACAUGCAUAUAUAUAAAUAUGGUAAUAAACCGUAGUCUUCAUGAUUAUCGAAAUCUCCGUGAUCUCAAUCGCAAUCUCAUUGGCAUCUCCCCAAAUUAAUGCUGGACGAUCAAGAAGCAUCAAUUUGUCGACAAGGAAUUGAUGACGCUGUCGAGUAAUUACCUUAGUAAACACAUCAACGAUCUAAACGUCAAUGGUGAUAUGUGGAAGAGAAAUAAUGUGACCAUCAUAAGCCUCACGAAUAGAGUGACAAUCUACCUAAUAUGUUUAGUGCGCUCAUGAAAUGCAGGAUUAGUAGCAAUUUGAAUGGCAUUAGUAUUAUUAACAUAAAGUGGAGUAGGCUGAAACUAAGGACAACCAAGCUCUGCUAGAAGGCCCCGUAGCCAAAUAAUCUCAUAAUAGAUAGAAGACAUAGCAUGAUACUCAGAUUCAGUGGAAAGUUUAGAGACACAAUCCUGGUUCUUGUUGCUCUAGGAAAUUAAUGCAUCCUCAAGAAAUAUGCACCAACUUAUAAUCGAGCAGCUAGUAUCCGUACAUCCAACCUAAUCCACAUCACUAUAUCUAAUCAACUGAAGAGAUGAAUUUGUAGGAAAGAAAAGACCCCUAUCAGGUGUGCCCAGUAAGUAUCGUAUAAUGCGACAAAUCGCAGUUAGAUGAAGAUGUCGUCAAGUAUGCAUAAACUGAUAGACUUGUUCGGCAAAAGAGCUAUCUGGUCAAGUAGUAUUGAGAUAAUUCGGGCUACCCACUAACUGGCGAUAUAGAGAGGGAUCGAGAAGGAGAUCACCUUCGUUCUUACGAUACUCCACAUUCACUUCCAAAGGAUUAUCAACCAAGUGACUGUCCCUAAGUCCAACUAAAGUAAUCAAUUCCUCCAAAUACUUAUGCUGAUGUAGAUAAGUUUCGGUUAGACUUGAAAGCACCUUAAGACCUAAGAAAUACUGCAAGGGGCCCAAAUCCUCGAUUUUGAAGUUGAGAUAACAAUCCGGAGUCAAUUCCAGUAAUAACAAUAUCAUCAACAUAGACCAAAAGUAACACAGUAUCCGCUUUGGUGGUAAAGAUGAAGAGAGACGAAUCAUAUUUACUCUGGAUAAAUGAGUUGCCAAAAAGAGUAGGUAUUUUAUGUCGUUUCAAAGCAGUUCUUACGCUUCCAGACAUGAGAGGAGAGAUCUUAGAUGUCAGUUACCCUUCUCAAUGGGUCUUAUUUUCAGCACCUUACGUGCUACGGGUGAUAUGUUUUUCUUGUGUAGAUGCCAAACCUCUGAAACUUUUCAUCGGGAAUAGCCAGCUUGCUUACGAAGGACAGAAAAGACACAUGAGUGCUUGGGUCGAGUUAAGUAAAGACUGGCUACCUAUAAAUAUUCCAUGCGGCAUACUUUCUAUAUCUCUUUCUACUCUUCAUUAUUAGCUACAUCUAUAUUAAUAGACCACUAAUGACACUCUUCAUUGGCUACCAACGAAAUUUGUCAAACCAAGUACGAAGAGCCUGCUUCAACCCAUAAAGCGAACGCUUUAUUUUACACACAUCGGAAGAUGGUAACAAAAAGAGACCUGCAAGAGUUGUCAUAUAAAUAUCUUCCUUAAGGUCACCAUAUAAGGAAACAUUCUUGACAUCCAUCUGUCGUAAAGACCAUCUCCUAUAGGUAGCUAUAGCCGAAAUAAUCAUUUUGGUAAUAGGGGCAAAGGACUUCUCAUAAUCCACCCCAUAUUCUGGACGAUUCUCAAGAGCCACCAAACUAGCUUUAUAAUGCUUUAGUGAUCCAUCAGAUCCGAGCAUAACAAAAUAGAUCCAUUUGCAACCAAUAGAUCAGAUAUGAGGAAGGUAAGGAACAAUGUUCCAUGUGUGACUUUCUUGAAGAGCUUGAACUUCCACUUGCCUCGCUUUCUCCCAACAGGGUUGAGUAGUAGCCUGAGAAUAAGAAGUAUGAACUGUGAAAUGACAUAAGGUUGCAGAGAAGCCAUAUCGAUCAGAAGGAUGAGUAACACAAGUAGAUCGCCAAAGAAUCACAGAUUUUGGGAUGGAAUCGGGAUCGGGAUAUGGAUUAGAAUCGGGAAGGGGGUAGUCGAUUUGGUGGCUGUCAUCUUUGAUAAACCAUACCUGGUUUAAAGCGCUUUACAAAAUCGAAGUUAUUUUCAAGGCUAAUAAGCGGAGCCAAAUUAGGAGAUGAAACAACAUGUUGGAAGUAGUAUUGAUUCUCAAAGAAGACUAUAUUGCGAGAGAUAUGAAAACAAUUUGCAAAACCAUCAUAACAACUAAAGCCUUUUUGAGCAAUGUUGUAACCUAUGAAAGCACACCGUGCGGAUUGAGCACUAAGCUUAUUACGUUCGUGAGGAGGUAAAUGGACAAAGUAGACACAACCAAGUAUGCAAUAUGUUAUAGUUAGGAUGUGUACCAUACAGAUGAAAAUAAGCUGGUUCAAAAUCAAAUGCUGAGCAGGAAGUCGAUUAAUCAAAUAUAUAGCUGUAGAAAGGGCUUCGACUCAAAAUUUGGGUAGAGCCGAAGAUUCCAAAACCUAAACUCUGACAACGUCUAAUAGAUGAUGAUUAUUUCUUUCUGUCACUCCAUUCUACUGAGGGGUAUAUGGACAAGAGCAUUAAAAAAGAAUACCCUUUUGUUGUAAGGAGAAUUGAAAUUGAUAAGACAUAUUCUCCUACCGUCGUCGGACCUCAAUAUUCGAAUACUGGAGGAGAUUGUGUCUCAAUGUAAGCUAUGAAAGUUUGAAGAAAAGUAGAGACGUCACUUCUAGAGCGCACAAAAUAUAUCAAAGUGUAACGACUGAAAUCAUUAAUAAACAUCACAAAAUACUUAUAAUGAGCAUGCAAAGUCAAAGGUACCAUAUCCCAACAUCACUAUGAAUAAUUUCGAAGCAUUUAUCAGCACGACUUCCAUGAGUUGGGAAUGGAAGAGUCUUACUUUUUCCAAGUUUACAAAUAUCACAAUUGAAAGACAAAUCAGAAAAUUGGAACUUGUCUUUAUUACCCCAAAAAACCACUCUUCAAUAAAUGAGAUAAAUUUAAAGUAUUGGGAUAACCCAAGUGUUUUUGCCUAACUUCAUGUUUACAUCUAUCACUAAUACAAGCCAAAGACGUAGCAUGGGGAAUAAUAAACUGUAGUGGGAACAAUCUUCCGACUUUAUGCCUCUUCGCGAUCACCUUUCUCGAUCCCUAAUUUUGCACAAGACAACCAUACAAGAGAAACACACAUCACAGUUAUUAUCAACUAAUUGACCAAGUCCACUACUGGUUUUUGUAUAUUUUGUGUGAUUCUCUUAUCUCUUGGAAAAGUAAGGAGCAGCUUGUUGUUUCCCGCUCCUCUACCGAGGCAGAGUAUCGAGCUAUGUCAUCUACUACCACUGAGAUUGUAUGGUUGCAAUGGUUACUUGCAGACAUGGGUGUUCCUCAUUCUUUUCCAACCCUUAUGUAUUGUGAUAAUACAAGUGCUAUUCAGAUAUCUCACAACUCUGUGUUCCAUGAGCGCACAAAGCAUAUUGAGUUUGAUUGUCAUUUGAUUAGCCACCAUCUGCAGACUGACACUAUUUCCCUACAUUUAGUUUCCUCAUCGUUGCAGCUUACUGAUUUCUUCGCUAAGUCCCAUCCAGUUCAUCGUUUUCGUUUCUUACGUGACAAACUCUCGCCACUUCUUGCUUUCGCAUCGUGAGUUUGAUAGGGGAUGAUAACAUAAUAAUAUAUUUAGCAUAAUCAUAUAUAUUAGUUUCCUUAUUGUUUUAGUUUCCUAAUUUUUGUAGUUUUCCUUAUACUAUAUAAACUACUUUGGUUCAUAAUGUUACCCUGAUUUUUGUGGC
Olea europaea var. sylvestris is the source of this 6870-nucleotide long non-coding RNA. RefSeq lists it as uncharacterized. NCBI's taxonomy places the organism in Eukaryota, Viridiplantae, Streptophyta, Magnoliopsida, Lamiales, Oleaceae. The record is from RefSeq and is a predicted model, not a curated record. The transcript has 5 exons.